CGGCAGUUGGAGGAGCAGCUGAAGGUACACCGCAGGGAGCUGGACAAGAAGGACGAGCUCAUCAGAACCCUGACCCUUCUCAGAGGAACUGCUGAUUCAACAGUUGGUAUUGUGAGUGACCUACGCCAGUCGGAGGGUCGGAGGGGUGUUUCUCUUGGCCGGGACGCCCUGCCUCGUUACACGGCACUGGAGGACACAUCACGGCCAGAGUACGCUGGACAACUGGUGAAGUACGAGGGCUC
This is a long non-coding RNA of Amblyraja radiata (thorny skate), 242 nucleotides long. RefSeq lists it as uncharacterized. The transcript has 3 exons. NCBI's taxonomy places the organism in Eukaryota, Metazoa, Chordata, Chondrichthyes, Rajiformes, Rajidae. The record is from RefSeq and is a predicted model, not a curated record.